Molecule: ribosomal RNA, 1226 nt
Filed under: uncultured prokaryote
Description: partial 16S ribosomal RNA
Rfam family: Bacterial small subunit ribosomal RNA
Source: RNAcentral
UAGCAGGAAUAGCUUGCUAGAUGAUGUCGAGUGGCGGACGGGUGAGUAAUACUUAGGAACAUGCCUUUGGGAGGGGGAUAACUAUUGGAAACGAUAGCUAAUACCGCAUAACGUCUACGGACCAAAGGGAGCGCUUGCGCUCUCGCCCAAAGAGAGGCCUAUAAGAUUAGCUAGUUGGUGAGGUAAUGGCUCACCAAGGCAACGAUCUUUAGCUGGUUUGAGAGGAUGAUCAGCCACACUGGGACUGAGACACGGCCCAGACUCCUACGGGAGGCAGCAGUGGGGAAUAUUGCACAAUGGGGGAAACCCUGAUGCAGCCAUGCCGCGUGUGUGAAGAAGGCCUUCGGGUUGUAAAGCACUUUCAGUUGUGAGGAAAGGGUAGCGGUUAAUACCCGUUAUCUGUGACGUUAGCAACAGAAGAAGGACCGGCUAACUCCGUGCCAGCAGCCGCGGUAAUACGGAGGGUCCGAGCGUUAAUCGGAAUUACUGGGCGUAAAGCGCACGUAGGCGGCUUUUUAAGCUAGAUGUGAAAGCCCUGGGCUCAACCUGGGAACUGCAUUUAGAACUGGAAGGCUAGAGUAUGGUAGAGGAGUGUGGAAUUUCAGGUGUAGCGGUGAAAUGCGUAGAGAUCUGAAGGAACAUCAGUGGCGAAGGCGACUCCCUGGCCAAAGACUGACGCUCAUGUGCGAAAGUGUGGGUAGCGAACAGGAUUAGAUACCCUGGUAGUCCACACCGUAAACGCUGUCUACUAGCUGUUUGUGGAUUUAAUCCGUGAGUAGCGAAGCUAACGCGAUAAGUAGACCGCCUGGGGAGUACGGCCGCAAGGUUAAAACUCAAAUGAGUUGACGGGGGCCCGCACAAGCGGUGGAGCAUGUGGUUUAAUUCGAUGUAACGCGAAGAACCUUACCUACUCUUGACAUACUAGAAACUUUUCAUAGAUGAAUUGGUGCCGGGAAUCCUGAGACAGUGCUGCAUGCUGUCGUCAGCUCGUGUCGUAGAAUGCUGGUAAGUCCCGCACGAGCGCACCCUUGUCUUAGUGCAGCAUUAGUGGCACUCUAGGGACUGCCGUGACAUCGAGAGGUGGGAACGACGUCAAGUCAUCAUGCCUUACGAGAUGGCUCACACGUGCUACAUGGCAGUACAAGAGCAGACGGUAACUGGAAGCGAACCUUAGCUGUGCGAAUGCGGAAUUGAAUCUGCACAUCAGCACUCUAGUGAUGCGCGUC